Molecule: ribosomal RNA, 308 nt
Filed under: uncultured eukaryote
Lineage: Eukaryota
Description: partial 18S ribosomal RNA
Rfam family: Eukaryotic small subunit ribosomal RNA
Source: RNAcentral
CCCUUAGACGUUCUGGGCCGCACGCGCGCUACACUGACGAAGGCAACGAGCUUUCCUUUACCGAAAGGUACGGGUAAUCUUUUGAAACUUCGUCGUGCUGGGGACAGAUCCUUGCAAUUUUUGAUCUUAAACGAGGAAUUCCUAGUAAGCGCAAGUCAUCAACUUGCGUUGAUUACGUCCCUGCCCUUUGUACACACCGCCCGUCGCUACUACCGAUUGAAUGGUUUAGUGAGGCCUUCGGAUCCGCGACUCGUUUUGUGGAGAAGUUGGACAAACUCAGUCAUUUAGAGGAAGUAAAAGUCGUAACA